Molecule: non-coding RNA, 26 nt
Filed under: Rattus norvegicus (Norway rat)
Lineage: Eukaryota; Metazoa; Chordata; Mammalia; Rodentia; Muridae
Source: RNAcentral
UCACUCCAAAGCAGUCAUGGACCGUC